UUUCGAAAUUUAAUUUUUUUACCAACAAAUACAACAUCUACCAACAUCCAAAUCUUGAAAAAGAAUAAGAAGAAGAGUCUUCCUUAAAUCAAUGAACAAAAUGAAGGAAAUUUUGAAGCUCUUUUACUGCGAAAUUUGUUACCUUUAAAUGAAUAAAAUGGUACAUGAAACAAAAAUAAACAAUAAAAAGUGGGAUUAGG
Molecule: long non-coding RNA, 200 nt
Filed under: Lathyrus oleraceus (garden pea)
Lineage: Eukaryota; Viridiplantae; Streptophyta; Magnoliopsida; Fabales; Fabaceae
Description: Pisum sativum (pea) long non-coding RNA (PSAT_LNC003549)
Source: RNAcentral